RNAcentral lists this ribosomal RNA (430 nucleotides) under uncultured bacterium. RNAcentral describes it as "bacterial SSU rRNA". It matches the Rfam family "Bacterial small subunit ribosomal RNA", at positions 8 to 484 of the family's 1533-position model. The record is from RNAcentral.
AGAGUUUGAUCCUGGCUCAGAGCGAACGCUGGCGGCAGGCCUAACACAUGCAAGUCGAACGAACUCUUCGGAGUUAGUGGCGGACGGGUGAGUAACACGUGGGAACGUGCCUUUAGGCUCGGAAUAACUCAGGGAAACUUGUGCUAAUACCGAAUGUGCCCUUCGGGGGAAAGAUUUAUCGCCUUUAGAGCGGCCCGCGUCUGAUUAGCUUGUUGGUGGGGUAAUGGCCCACCAAGGCUACGAUCAGUAGCUGGUCUGAGAGGAUGACCAGCCACAUUGGGACUGAGACACGGCCCAAACUCCUACGGGAGGCAGCAGUGGGGAAUCUUGCGCAAUGGGCGAAAGCCUGACGCAGCCAUGCCGCGUGUAUGAUGAAGGUCUUAGGAUUGUAAAAUACUUUCACCGGUGAAGAUAAUGACUGUAGCCGGAG